RNAcentral lists this ribosomal RNA (292 nucleotides) under uncultured bacterium. RNAcentral's name for it is "partial 16S ribosomal RNA". It matches the Rfam family "Bacterial small subunit ribosomal RNA", at positions 505 to 796 of the family's 1533-position model. The record is from RNAcentral.
GUGUCAGCAGCCGCGGUAAUACAGAGGCCUCGAGCGUUAGGCGGAAUCACUGGGCUUAAAGCGUGUGUAGGUGGAUGCCUAAGUACCUUGUGAAAUCCCAUGGCUUAACCAUGGAAUUGCUUGGUAUACUGGGUGUCUUGAGCCACUCAGGGGCGAGCGGAACAAACGGUGGAGCGGUGAAAUGCGUAGAUAUCGUUUGGAACGCCAAUGGUGAAAACAGCUCGCUGGGGGUGCGCUGACACUGAGACACGAAAGCCAGGGGAGCAAACGGGAUUAGAAACCCCUGUAGUCC